UUAUAAAUAGUGUAAUGUGUGGGUGUUUGUGUAUCUAUACUUUAGAGAAUACCAUUCGUGCCCAUUAUAGCAAUCGACAGAUGAUCAGAUUAAAAUGAAAAAAUCGCCACCCAUUACUAUUAGUAGUAGAUGACUAUUUUACUGAAAUAUCCCUAAAAUUCAAAAACAUUCAAAAACAUUCCUUGUGCCUUUACAACAUUCCUUGUAGCAGAUGGAGUAAAAAAAAUCUCUCUUUUCCGCCGAUUACUUCAGUCCUCUCCCGCUGAUAGCUUGUUCCAUCUCCCUACAAAUCCAUAUAUUGGCCCCAAAAUCAAAGUUUCUAAAGCUUGGGACGAAGAUUGUUAUUAUCCAUCCACUAAAUUGGCACAAAUUAAUUCGUAAGUAAUGUAUAUGCAUCUCACUCUGCCUCCUUAUGGAUGGGUAUUGACAUGUACAAGAACCUUGAAAAAUUAUUAUAUAUAUUAGAUGUCAUUUUGCAUCCACUUCAAU
Molecule: long non-coding RNA, 489 nt
Filed under: Panax ginseng (ginseng)
Lineage: Eukaryota; Viridiplantae; Streptophyta; Magnoliopsida; Apiales; Araliaceae
Description: long non-coding RNA (PGIN_LNC014386)
Source: RNAcentral